AGAGUUUGAUCAUGGCUCAGAAUCAACGCUGGCGGCGUGCCUAACACAUGCAAGUCGAGCGAGAAAGGGGCUUCGGCCCUGAGUACAGCGGCGCACGGGUGAGUAACACGUGGGUAAUCUGCCCUAGAGUGGGGAAUAACACCGGGAAACCGGUGCUAAUACCGCAUACGAUCGCGAAGUCUUCGGAUUUUGUGAUGAAAGGAGCAAUUCGCUCUUGGAGGAGCCCGCGGCUGAUUAGCUAGUUGGUAAGGUAAUGGCUUACCAAGGCAACGAUCAGUAGCCGGUCUGAGAGGACGGUCGGCCACACUGGAACUGAGACACGGUCCAGACUCCUACGGGAGGCAGCAGUGGGGAAUUUUUCGCAAUGGGGGCAACCCUGACGAAGCAACGCCGCGUGGAUGAUGAAGUCUCUUGGGACGUAAAAUCCUUUCGACGGGGAAGAAACCGCAAGGUUGACGGUACCCGUAGAAGAAGCCCCGGCUAACUCCGUGCCAGCAGCCGCGGUAAUACGGGGGGGGCAAGCGUUGUUCGGAAUUACUGGGCGUAAAGGGCGCGUAGGCGGUUCGCUAAGUUGAAUGUGAAAACUCUGGGCUUAACCCAGAGCCUGCAUUCAAUACUGGCGGGCUAGAGUUCUGGAGGGGAUAGCGGAAUUCCUGGUGUAGCGGUGAAAUGCGUAGAUAUCAGGAGGAACACCGGUGGCGAAGGCGGCUAUCUGGACAGAGUCUGACGCUGAGGCGCGAAAGCUAGGGGAGCAAACAGGAUUAGAUACCCUGGUAGUCCUAGCCCUAAACGAUGGAUACUUGCUGUGACUGGGAUUGAAUCCAGUCGUGGCGAAGCUACGCAUUAGUAUCCCGCCUGGGGAGUACGGUCGCAGGCUGAAACUCAAGGAUUGACGGGGCCCGCACAGCGGUGGAGUAUGUGG
This 922-nucleotide ribosomal RNA is filed under the name uncultured bacterium. Its description in RNAcentral is "bacterial SSU rRNA". It matches the Rfam family "Bacterial small subunit ribosomal RNA", at positions 8 to 944 of the family's 1533-position model. The record is from RNAcentral.